RNAcentral lists this ribosomal RNA (253 nucleotides) under uncultured bacterium. RNAcentral's name for it is "partial 16S ribosomal RNA". It matches the Rfam family "Bacterial small subunit ribosomal RNA", at positions 524 to 776 of the family's 1533-position model. The record is from RNAcentral.
UACGGAGGGUGCAAGCGUUAUCCGGAAUUAUUGGGCGUAAAGAGCUCGUAGGCGGUCUGUCGCGUCUGCUGUGAAAACUCGGGGCUUAACCCCGGGCCUGCAGUGGGUACGGGCAGACUAGAGUGCGGUAGGGGAGACUGGAAUUCCUGGUGUAGCGGUGAAAUGCGCAGAUAUCAGGAGGAACACCGGUGGCGAAGGCGGGUCUCUGGGCCGUAACUGACGCUGAGGAGCGAAAGCAUGGGGAGCGAACAGG